GUGAAAUUACUGAGAGAGGGAGGAGAAGAAGGGGAAGGAAGAACAGAGGAAUGAGUUGAUUUAUAGACGGAGACAGUGAAAGACUAAAAGGAGAAAACAAAGUGGGUUACAGAUUCAGGGGUUAGCCGGGGUUAAUAUCCCCACUGGACAGAACUCAUCCCAAAAUAUCUUCCCUAUGCCACGCAACGGGUCCACUUUUCUAAGGCAGGUGUUGCUGCCCAGGGCGUUGACCAGCAUGGUGCCCCUGGAGCGCAGGCGCGAGUCGGAUAGGGACAGAGACUGCAGGGCCUGGCGGGGAAGGAGAAGAAACCGAGCGGUGAAGAAAAAAAUGCAGUGCUUCUGCAGGACCUCAUCCAGAACCCUGCGGACACAAGCCGUGGAGACAAACACAGAGGCGAGGCUGGAUGAGCCAGCACGACUAAUUGCCUCCUGCUAGAGAGCCGUCCGCCCGAGGAGCGGCAGAGUCAGACGCCUAUGAAAACAUCUAAGUGGACCAGGCAGUUGGGCUGAGACAAGAACAGAUACAAGUUCUGCAAGCAGAGAAAAAGAGAGCGCAAAUCACCUCAAGCGAGAAGAGUGAGGACACCGGGGUUCUUGCUCAGGUCCAGGUGCAGGAGAGAGUUGGAGUACUCAUCGCUGGAGCACAGAGCCUGAGAGAGAGACACCACUCCUGACAGAGAGAGA
Scophthalmus maximus (turbot) is the source of this 684-nucleotide long non-coding RNA. RefSeq lists it as uncharacterized. The transcript is spliced from 5 exons. The record is from RefSeq and is a predicted model, not a curated record. NCBI's taxonomy places the organism in Eukaryota, Metazoa, Chordata, Actinopteri, Pleuronectiformes, Scophthalmidae.